Molecule: small nuclear RNA, 53 nt
Filed under: Salmo salar (Atlantic salmon)
Lineage: Eukaryota; Metazoa; Chordata; Actinopteri; Salmoniformes; Salmonidae
Description: U7 small nuclear RNA (ENSSSAG00000089849.1, ENSSSAG00020081746.1, ENSSSAG00070045726.1, ENSSSAG00075063025.1)
Rfam family: U7 small nuclear RNA
About the family: Animal histone pre-mRNAs are spliced by a different mechanism than nuclear pre-mRNAs and self-splicing introns.
Source: Rfam by way of RNAcentral
AAAUGUGCUCUUUUAGUAUUUCUCUAGUAGGUUUAUUCAAGGAGAAAGCCUCC